Molecule: ribosomal RNA, 465 nt
Filed under: uncultured bacterium
Lineage: Bacteria
Description: bacterial SSU rRNA
Rfam family: Bacterial small subunit ribosomal RNA
Source: RNAcentral
UUUGAGAGGAUGAGGAAGGACGGUACUCUCAGAAUAAGUCUCGGCUAACUACGUGCCAGCAGCCGCGGUAACACGUAGGAGGCGAACGUUAUCCGGAUUUAUUGGGCGUAAAGCGCGUGUAGGUGGUUUGGUAAGUAGAGCGUGAAAGCUCCUGGCUCAACUGGGAGAGGUCGUUCUAAACUGCCAGACUAGAGGAUGGUAGAGGGAGGUGGAAUUCCGGGUGUAGCGGUGGAAUGCGCAGAUAUCCGGAGGAACACCAGUGGCGAAAGCGGCCUCCUGGACCACUCCUGACACUCAGACGCGGAAGCUAGGGUAGCAAACGGGAUUAGAGACCCCGGUAGUCCUAGCCAUAAACGAUGUAGACUUGGCGUCGGUGGUUUAAUCACCAUCGGUGUCGAAGCUAACGCGAUAAGUCUAUCGCCUGGGGACUACGGCCGCAAGGUUAAAACUCAAAGGAAUUGACGG